RNAcentral lists this ribosomal RNA (273 nucleotides) under uncultured bacterium. RNAcentral's name for it is "partial 16S ribosomal RNA". It matches the Rfam family "Bacterial small subunit ribosomal RNA", at positions 524 to 796 of the family's 1533-position model. The record is from RNAcentral.
UACGUAGGGGGCAAGCGUUGUCCGGAUUUAUUGGGCGUAAAGCGCUCGCAGGUGGUCCGUCUUGUCGUGCGUGAAAGGCCCCGGCUCAACUGGGGAGGGUCGUGCGAAACGGGCGGACUGGAGGCCAGUAGGGGGAUGCGGAAUUCCGGGUGUAGUGGUGGAAUGCGUAGAGAUCCGGAGGAACACCAGCGGCGAAGGCGGCAUCCUGGACUGGUCCUGACACUCAGGAGCGAAAGCGUGGGGAGCGAUCCGGAUUAGAUACCCCCGUAGUCC